CCUACGGGAGGCAGCAGUGGGGAAUAUUGCACAAUGGGGGAAACCCUGAUGCAGCGACGCCGCGUGAGUGAAGAAGGAAUUCGUUAUGGAAAGCUCUAUCAGCAGGGAAGAAAGUGACGGUACCUGAGUAAGAAGCCCCGGCUAACUACGUGCCAGCAGCCGCGGUAAUACGUAGGGGGCAAGGGGUAUCCGGAUUUACUGGGUGUAAAGGGAGCGUAGACGGCAGUGCAAGUUUGGAGUGAAAGGCGGGGGCUCAACCCCCGGACUGCUCUGGAAACUGUACGGCUGGAGUGCAGGAGAGGUAAGUGGAAUUCCUAGUGUAGCGGUGAAAUGCGUAGAUAUUAGGAGGAACACCAGUGGCGAAGGCGGCUUACUGGACUGUAACUGACGUUGAGGCUCGAAAGCGUGGGGAGCAAACAGGAUUAGAUACCCGGGUAGUC
RNAcentral lists this ribosomal RNA (440 nucleotides) under uncultured bacterium. RNAcentral's name for it is "partial 16S ribosomal RNA". It matches the Rfam family "Bacterial small subunit ribosomal RNA", at positions 338 to 795 of the family's 1533-position model. The record is from RNAcentral.